Molecule: ribosomal RNA, 484 nt
Filed under: uncultured bacterium
Lineage: Bacteria
Description: partial 16S ribosomal RNA
Rfam family: Bacterial small subunit ribosomal RNA
Source: RNAcentral
AUUGAACGCUGGCGGCAGGCCUAACACAUGCAAGUCGAGCGGAUGAAGGGAGCUUGCUCCUGGAUUCAGCGGCGGACGGGUGAGUAAUGCCUAGGAAUCUGCCUGGUAGUGGGGGAUAACGUCCGGAAACGGGCGCUAAUACCGCAUACGUCCUGAGGGAGAAAGUGGGGGAUCUUCGGACCUCACGCUAUCAGAUGAGCCUAGGUCGGAUUAGCUAGUUGGUGGGGUAAAGGCCUACCAAGGCGACGAUCCGUAACUGGUCUGAGAGGAUGAUCAGUCACACUAGAACAGAGAAACGGUCCAGACUCCUGAGGGAGGCAGCAGUCGGGAAUAUUGGACAAUGGGCGAAAACCUGAUCCAACAAUGCCGCGUGUGUGAGGAAGGUCUUAGGAUUGUAAAACACUUUAAGUUGGGAGGAAGGGCAGUAAGUUAAUACCUUGCUGUUUUGACGUUACCAACAGAAUAAGCACCGGCUAACUUCGUG